GGAUGCUUUGGAGAUCUGGCUGCGACAUCUGUCACCCCAUUGAUCACCAGGGUUGUUUUGGCUGAUCUGGUUGGCUAGGCUGGUGUCCCCUUCUCCCUCACUGCUCCUUGUGCAUCUCUCUGGAAGCUGUGUGCUUGGUCGAAGAGGACGACUGUCUGAAUAGAGGAGGACCAGUCUUCAGGUAGCUGCACUCCUCUGCUAGAGCCUCCAAACAAGCUUGUGUUUAUUUUAAACUAAUAACGACAGCCUAUAAUUACAGAUUUAUAUCAGGAACUACAAAUAUUAACUAAAAUUUUUGGUUAUUC
RNAcentral lists this small nuclear RNA (305 nucleotides) under Meriones unguiculatus (Mongolian gerbil). RNAcentral's name for it is "7SK RNA (ENSMUGG00000003979.1)". It matches the Rfam family "7SK RNA". From Rfam's summary of the family: 7SK was discovered as an abundant small nuclear RNA in the mid-70s but a possible function has only recently been suggested. Two independent studies have found that 7SK RNA binds the CDK9/cyclin T complex (known as elongation factor P-TEFb). Lineage: Eukaryota; Metazoa; Chordata; Mammalia; Rodentia; Muridae. The record is from RNAcentral.